RNAcentral lists this ribosomal RNA (468 nucleotides) under uncultured bacterium. RNAcentral describes it as "partial 16S ribosomal RNA". It matches the Rfam family "Bacterial small subunit ribosomal RNA", at positions 28 to 507 of the family's 1533-position model. The record is from RNAcentral.
GACGAACGCUGGCGGCGUGCUUAACACAUGCAAGUCGAACGGAAAGGCCCUGCUUUUUGGGGGUGCUCGAGUGGGGAGCGGGAGGGUAACACGCGAGUAACCAGCCCUUCACUGUGGGAUAACUUAAGGAAACAGCGGCUAAUACCUGAUACGAACUACUGCUGCAUGGGGGCGGUCGGAAAGUGUCGGCGGUUGGGGAUGUACUCGCGGCUGAUCAGCCAGUUAGUGAGGUAGUGGCUCACCAAGGCUUUGACGGGUAGCCGGCCUGAGAGGGUGACCGGCCACAUAGGGACUGGGAUACCGCCAAGACUGCAACGGGCGGCAGCGGUGGAGAAUAUUCCGCAAGGGGCGGAAGCCUGAUGCAGCGACUCCGCGUGCGGGAUGACGGCCUUCGGGGUGUAAACCGCUUUCGCCUGUGACGAAGCGUGAGUGACGGUAAUGGGUAAAGAAGCAACGGCUAACUACGUG